This 465-nucleotide ribosomal RNA is filed under the name uncultured bacterium. RNAcentral's name for it is "partial 16S ribosomal RNA". It matches the Rfam family "Bacterial small subunit ribosomal RNA", at positions 31 to 507 of the family's 1533-position model. The record is from RNAcentral.
GAACGCUGGCGGCGUGCUUAACACAUGCCAGUCGAACGGAAAGGCCCUGCUUUUGUGGGGUGCUCGAGUGGCGAACGGGUGAGUAACACGUGAGUAACCUGCCCUUGACUUUGGGAUAACUUCAGGAAACUGGGGCUAAUACCGGAUAGGAGCUCCUGCUGCAUGGUGGGGGUUGGAAAGUUUCGGCGGUUGGGGAUGGACUCGCGGCUUAUCAGCUUGUUGGUGGGGUAGUGGCUUACCAAGGCUUUGACGGGUAGCCGGCCUGGGAGGGUGACCGGCCACAUUGGGACUGAGAUACGGCCCAGACUCCUACGGGAGGCAGCAGUGGGGAAUAUUGCACAAUGGGCGGAAGCCUGAUGCAGCAACGCCGCGUGCGGGAUGACGGCCUUCGGGCUGUAAACCGCUUUCGCCUGUGACGAAGCGUGAGUGACGGUAAUGGGUAAAGAAGCACCGGCUAACUACGUG